UCCCCUGUAGCUCAAUGGUAGAGCGCGCGACUGUUAAUCGCUAGGUUCGAGGUUCGAGUCCUCGCGGGGGAGCCA
This 75-nucleotide transfer RNA is filed under the name Candidatus Levybacteria bacterium CG22_combo_CG10-13_8_21_14_all_35_11. RNAcentral's name for it is "tRNA-Asn". It matches the Rfam family "tRNA". Rfam says of the family: Transfer RNA (tRNA) molecules are approximately 80 nucleotides in length. RNAcentral also lists the same sequence under 1 other name. The record is from RNAcentral. Lineage: Bacteria; Candidatus Levyibacteriota.